Molecule: ribosomal RNA, 468 nt
Filed under: uncultured bacterium
Lineage: Bacteria
Description: partial 16S ribosomal RNA
Rfam family: Bacterial small subunit ribosomal RNA
Source: RNAcentral
GACGAACGCUGGCGGCGUGCUUAACACAUGCAAGUCGAACGGAAAGGCCCUGCUUUUGUGGGGUGCUCGAGUGGCGAACGGGUGAGUAACACGUGAGUAACCUGCCCUUGACUUUGGGAUAACUUCAGGAAACUGGGGCUAGUACCGGACAGGAGCUCCUGCUGCAUGGUGGGGGUUGGAAAGUUUCGGCGGUUGGGGAUGGACUCGCGGCUUAUCAGCUUGUUGGUGGGGUAGUGGCUUACCAAGGCUUUGACGGGUAGCCGGCCUGAGAGGGUGACCGGCCACAUUGGGACUGAGAUACGGCCCAGACUCCUACGGGAGGCAGCAGUGGGGAAUAUUGCACAAUGGGCGGAAGCCUGAUGCAGCAACGCCGCGUGCGGGAUGACGGCCUUCGGGUUGUAAACCGCUUUCGCCUGUGACGAAGCGUGAGUGACGGUAAUGGGUAAAGAAGCACCGGCUAACUACGUG